GAUAACCCCGGGAAACUGGGGAUAAUACCCCAUAGACUAUGGAAGCUGGAAUGCUUCUGUAGUUGAAAGGUCCGCCGCCAUAGAAUGGGUCUGCGGCCGAUUAGGUUGUUGUUGGGGUAACGGCCCAACAAGCCUGUAAUCGGUACGGGUUGUGGGAGCAAGAGCCCGGAGAUGGAUUCUGAGACACGAAUCCAGGCCCUACGGGGCGCAGCAGGCGCGAAAACUUUACAAUGCGGGAAACCGUGAUAAGGGAACUCCGAGUGCCCGUAAAAUCGGGCUGUCCAUCUGUUUAAAUAACAGGUGAAGAAAGGGCCGGGCAAGACCGGUGCCAGCCGCCGCGGUAAUACCGGCGGCUCGAGUGGUGGCCACUAUUACUGGGCUUAAAGCGUUCGUAGCUGGUCUGUUAAGUCUCUGGGGAAAUCUACUGGCUUAACCAAUAGGCGUUUCAGGGAUACUGGCAGACUAGGGACCGGGAGAGGUGAGAGGUACUCCAGGGGUAGGAGUGAAAUCCUGUAAUCCUUGGGGGACCACCUGUGGCGAAGGCGUCUCACCAGAACGGCUCCGACAGUGAGGGACGAAAGCUGGGGGAGCAAACCGGAUUAGAUACCCGGGUAGUCCCAGCUGUAAACGAUGCGCGUUAGGUGUAUCGGUGACCACGAGUCACCGAGGUGCCGAAGAGAAAUCGUGAAACGUGCCGCCUGGGAAGUACGGUCGCAAGGCUGAAACUUAAAGGAAUUGGCGGGGGAGCAC
This 750-nucleotide ribosomal RNA is filed under the name uncultured Methanomicrobiaceae archaeon. RNAcentral describes it as "SSU rRNA". It matches the Rfam family "Archaeal small subunit ribosomal RNA", at positions 125 to 879 of the family's 1478-position model. The record is from RNAcentral. Lineage: Archaea; Methanobacteriati; Methanobacteriota; Methanomicrobia; Methanomicrobiales; Methanomicrobiaceae.